CCCCCCAUCAGAAUGGAAGCCGAAACGCUUUUGCGGCUGACAGUACUCAGCUUUGGCGCUGCUGCUCCGCAGCCCACUCAUGCCAAGCACCACAAGGACAACGUAGCGCCGCCAACUCCCCACAUUGCCGCAUCUCAAGAUAUACGCAUGACCUUCAUCAACCUCUGGGCAGGGCAGCUCGGCCAGUUCAUUUCGGUCAACGCGUUUCUGCGUGAAACUCUCCUCUUUUUUCUCCCAGGACACUGGUGCUGCGGUCCCUGUGAGACGCAUAAUCUUGCGCUCCCUACAGACGCUGCCAUCGACACUAGAUCGUUUGCGCCGCGCCUUGAGCAGUACCGCACUCAGCGAACAGUGAAAAAAUGGGCAGCAAACCCGUUUUUGCAGCAGCUCGACACGCUUGUCACUCUGCUUCAACCCAAGCCGCGCCAUGCGCAGCCAUCGUUCCAGGAGUGGUUGAAAGUUGUGGAUCAUCUGCUGACAGCUCUGCGCACGCUUUUCAUGACAACGUACAGUGCCUUUUUUAACUCUUUUUGCGCCGUUCACAAGACUCUUAUAGACAGUUUUCGAAGGCCCGUUUGGGAAGAUGUACAGACCUCUUACGCACUUGCUGUGUGCGACCUCUCUCGCUCCAUUGAAUCAAAACUCAUCACCAUUGUGUCGCACGCGAUUUCCUCCAACAUUGACGCUUGCAUGGCGAACACCACGCUGCAGCUCUUCCGCACGCCAGCUAAUCUAACCCCCAACGAGAUCUCUGAUUAUGUGGCCUCAGCAUUGCUGACACGACUUGGUGACGUCGCCUCGAGUGUGGCACUUAAUGCCCGCUUCGCGAAGCAAUUCCCUCAAGCAGCGGCAAGUUUAGAUGUCAGUGAUGACAGGCAUGAAGAGUCUCUAGCGUUUCUUCGCAGCUCGAUAUCCUCCUAUGUUGAGAAGCUUUCAGCAGUAGCUACAACGACAAACCAGGGGGCACCAAGCAUCACAGAACCUUCCGCUUUCCCCAGCGAUGAAUUAGUCACCAGCUGUGCAAGCAAAGCUACUUCCACCCUGCCGGUCAGCGUGGAAGCGAAAACGAUCGCACAAGCUGCACAGGUGUCGCCGUACACGCCUCGCUCUGUUUCGGUCGAAGACGCUCUCGCGCUGACUAUCAUGUCGGAAGGAGUUGAUGUCUUCUCCAGCAUUGCUGCAGUCGCCGCAUCCGUCGGAGACGUUGAAGAGAGGGUUCGAAUCCUUGUGGCGCAGCAAGCCGAAGAACAGCGAGCUGUAUUGGGCUGGAUACCGAACAAUAAAGGCAGGCAACGGGAGAGCUGGUGUGGCGCUGUCAAGACUCCUGAGGACAUCAUCCCAGACAUCGAUGAUACUCCUGCACUAGCAAAGAAAUCACCCGCUAUCCGAGAAAAACAAGUGGAGUGCUACAGAAGCGAUCCCGGGGAAACGGUUUUGUUUUGGAAUCGACUGAGGGAGAAGCUUGGCCUGGAUGAGGCAUUGCUCAUGCAGGCAAUGACACAAUGCGGCUUUCGGUGUGAAUCGCCGUAUCCAAAUGUCUUUCUCAAAGAUCUCGAUGUGCGCAACAACGACCGGAUCACUCGGUUCUUCGUGGAAGAGGUUCGACCGCUGCUUUCAGUCGAAAGCUCCCCCAUACUGAAGGCGAGGAAUGUGCGACUUUUCCGUGAAGCCUGCACCAGCUACGGCAAGCAGCUGUGGGAAAAGACGCUUGAGAUUCGCGAAACGCUACCGUGUCUACCGGUUCGCGUGAGAGGUGUUUUGCUGGGGACAAUGUACUCGGCCAUGCGGGCAGACAAGCAGUUCGAGUCCCUCAAGCAAAUCCGUGUGCAGCUGUGUCAAGUUGCCGCCAAAAUAGGCGCCACCGCAAAGGACGCGGCAACAUUAGCCGAUACCGAAGAGCAGCUACUCAAGAGAGCAGAAAUAAUUGCCCAAGCGGUGAAUGCUAUCGAGUAUGAGGCGGUAGAGGAAAGGCGCAGUCAGGCACAGCCAACUGAAGUAGCAUCUACCCCCAAACCAGAGUACAGGGCAAAGUCAGCGCUGGCAAGCAUUUCUAAUAAAACACCCCUCUUCAACAAAGGUUUCUGCGGCUCUAUAAGCCGCUAUGCAAGAGCCAUUGGAAGCUUGGCCCCAUUGCAGACGACAAGCACCAGCUCUACUGAUGCUGCAUGGCGACGUUCCUCUGUGAUGGAUGUGUUGGCGCAGUCGCGAAAGAGUAUGGCAGAGCUGCUGGCCAAGGAAUUUUCACCUGGAACCCCUGUCGCCGAGGUUUACCGCCAAGCGUGUCGAUGCCAUGGUGUGAGUCCGAACCCCAGUGUGGUGUGCGAGCUCAGCGGCAAUGAUGCAGACUACUUUGCUACUCUCGAUCUCUCCAGCAACUACGUGGGGGUGGAGGGUCUGAGGCCGGUGCUGGACCUGCUGCAGUACAACGGCGAGCAUCUCGUUUCUCUCUCCCUCUGCAACAACGACCUGGAGAGUGAUGACGUCAGCGACCUGUGCGGCGCACUUCGAGGGCCAGCAGGCACAAACCUAGUGCACCUGGACUUGUCUUACAACCCGUUUACAAACGCUACGUUUCCUGUUCUCAAAGAACUCGUGUCAUCGCUGGGCUGCAUGGAGACACUAGUGAUCAAAGGAACCCUUCUCUCUUCAUCCGCCUCACGCCAGUUGCAGGGCAUUCUUGAAAGAAAAAUGAUUCAGAGGUGUUCCUGACAGCCAUAGGAACCAAGCGGGUGCCUGCGUAUGUGUCGGGUGUACGUGGCUACCGCCUCAGAAGAGCUGCUUUGCGUUUUUGCUUCCGCCCGAAAACAUAAAAAAGAGAAUGCCGAACAGCGUACGCUUCGGUUUCGUGGCAAAAGGCAGACUUUCUUUUCAUUCUUUGUUGUUCGCUUCCUUCGCUGUCUUUUGUGGAAGUCCCCGAUGUAUGACUGAGCACCUGCGAACAGGAGCGAAAAAAAAACGCGCAUCUCGCUAUUCACUUGCGCUAUCACCAAGUUUCAACCGAUCUUGUCUCACUGGCAACGCCAAAUAAACGCUGCGUAUGCUCCUGUGAAACCGCUGGAUGUCUUCGUGGCUGACGUGACCAGAGAACUUGC
This 3092-nucleotide unclassified non-coding RNA is filed under the name Leishmania donovani. RNAcentral describes it as "gene:LdHU3.31.2030(CDS-product:Leucine_Rich_repea t_putative)". The record is from RNAcentral. Lineage: Eukaryota; Euglenozoa; Kinetoplastea; Trypanosomatida; Trypanosomatidae.